RNAcentral lists this ribosomal RNA (468 nucleotides) under uncultured bacterium. RNAcentral's name for it is "partial 16S ribosomal RNA". It matches the Rfam family "Bacterial small subunit ribosomal RNA", at positions 28 to 507 of the family's 1533-position model. The record is from RNAcentral.
AACGAACGCUGGCGGCGGGCUUAACACAUGCAAGUCGAACGGAAAGGCCGUGCUUUUGUGCGGUGCUCGAGUGGCGAACGGGUGAGUAACACGUGAGUAACCUGCCCUUGACUUUGGGAUAACUUCAGGAAACUGGGGCUAAUACCGGAUAGGAGCUCCUGCUGCAUGGUGGGGGUUGGAAAGUUUCGGCGGUUGGGGAUGGACUCGCGGCUUAUCAGCUUGUUGGUGGGGUAGUGGCUUACCAAGGCUUGGACCGGUAGCCGGCCUGAGAGGGUGACCGGCCACAUUGGGACUGAGAUACGGCCCAGACUCCAACGGGAGGCAGCGGUGGGGAGUAUUGUACAAUGGGCGGAAGCCUGAUGCAGCAACGCCGCGUGCGGGAUGACGGCCUUCGGGUUGUGAACCGCUUCCGCCUGUGACGAAGCGUGAGUGACGGUAAUGGGUGAAGAAGCACCGGCUAACUACGUG